This 380-nucleotide ribosomal RNA is filed under the name uncultured eukaryote. Its description in RNAcentral is "partial 18S ribosomal RNA". It matches the Rfam family "Eukaryotic small subunit ribosomal RNA", at positions 592 to 976 of the family's 1831-position model. The record is from RNAcentral.
CAAUAGCGUAUAUUAAAGUUGUUGCAGUUAAAAAGCUCGUAGUUGGAUUUGUGGCGUACGGUGUGUUCCGGGCACUUGUUGUCUGAGUAACCUGCUGUUGCCAUCCUUGGGUGGAACCUGUGUGGCAUUAGGUUGUCGUGCAGGGGAUGCCCAUCAUUUACUGUGAAAAAAUUAGAGUGUUCAAAGCAGGCUUAUGCCGUUGAAUAUAUUAGCAUGGAAUGAUGAGAUAGGACUUUUUUGCUAUUUUGUUGGUUUGCGCAAGAAGGUAAUGAUUAAUAGGGACAGUUGGGGGUAUUCGUAUUCCAUUGUCAGAGGUGAAAUUCUUGGAUUUUUGGAAGACGAACUACUGCGAAAGCAUUUACCAAGGAUGUUUUCAUUAA